RNAcentral lists this transfer RNA (74 nucleotides) under Mesocricetus auratus (golden hamster). It matches the Rfam family "tRNA". From Rfam's summary of the family: Transfer RNA (tRNA) molecules are approximately 80 nucleotides in length. Their secondary structure includes four short double-helical elements and three loops (D, anti-codon, and T loops). The record is from Rfam by way of RNAcentral. Lineage: Eukaryota; Metazoa; Chordata; Mammalia; Rodentia; Cricetidae.
AGGGGUAUAGCUCAGUGGUGGAGUGCUUGCCUUGAAUGUGAAAGAUGCCCUGGGUUGAAUCCCCAGUGCUUCAA